AUGGACCAAUCCAUCCCUUUUUCCCGUGCAUAUGCAUCGGACUCGGAUGAUGAUGGUCCCGAUGAAGAAGUUGAUGAGGAGGGGUUCACGCCGAAGGAGGCCCAAGCAUUCAAGAAGGUAUUCGGGCGGGAUCACAAGACACCAUUGUUCAAGGAUCUUAGUCUCGCGGAUGAAGCCGUUGUGGAUGGUGGCAAAUACAUAUCUCUUGGAGCUAGGCCAAGUUCUCACCGUGAUUUGGAAGACGGCAAGAACGGGAUAUAUCCCGGUUGUGAGUUUCAAUCCUUCUUGGAAUUGAAGAUGUGGCUCGACAACUACUCGGUUACACAUUAUCGUCCACAUAAAGUGGCCAACUCGGACGUGAAUGUGCGUUACACGGUCAAAUGUGAAGUGCCAACAUGUCCAUGGAUUGUGCGUGCAAGGCCAUGGAAAGGAGGUCCCACUUGGCGCAUAGUGAGUUGUCUACCAACUCACAUGUGCCGGCACAAGAAUGCGGAUGGCAAGCUUGUGUACCAACAACACAGACAACUCACGUCCGAGUUCAUUGCUUACAUGCUGUCCAACCAAAUAUCCACACUUCCAAUAAUGAGCAUUGUCGGAGUAAUGGGCCACGGGUAG
RNAcentral lists this ribosomal RNA (615 nucleotides) under Triticum aestivum (bread wheat). RNAcentral's name for it is "partial small subunit ribosomal RNA". Lineage: Eukaryota; Viridiplantae; Streptophyta; Magnoliopsida; Poales; Poaceae. The record is from RNAcentral.